This 308-nucleotide unclassified non-coding RNA is filed under the name Mycoplasma sp. HRC689. RNAcentral's name for it is "intergenic spacer". Lineage: Bacteria; Bacillati; Mycoplasmatota; Mollicutes; Mycoplasmatales; Mycoplasmataceae. The record is from RNAcentral.
CUACGGAGUACAAUACCAAACACACGAUUUGGAAUUAACCUUUUUAAGACCUUAUUAAUUUAAUAACGUUAUGGACUUGUUAGGUCGCAAGUAUGUAUCUAGUUUUGAGAGAACAUUUCUCUCGAAAUUGUUCUUUGAAAACUGAAUAGUAAUUAUUUUAAAAUAUUACAACGACAUCAAAAUUGAAUAAAUUUUUUUGGUUUAUUCGUAUUGAUUCAUCGAGUAAUCAUAAAACAUUAUGAUUCAUUGAAAUGUCUUAAAAUACACAUCAUAACAAUAGGAAAUCUUAAUUUUAAAUUAAGGACAUA